AUGGCUGUCGUCAGCUCGUGUUGUGAAAUGUUGGGUUAAGUCCCGCAACGAGCGCAACCCUUAUCCUUUGUUGCCAGCGGUCCGGCCGGGAACUCAAAGGAGACUGCCAGUGAUAAACUGGAGGAAGGUGGGGAUGACGUCAAGUCAUCAUGGCCCUUACGACCAGGGCUACACACGUGCUACAAUGGCGCAUACAAAGAGAAGCGACCUCGCGAGAGCAAGCGGACCUCAUAAAGUGCGUCGUAGUCCGGAUUGGAGUCUGCAACUCGACUCCAUGAAGUCGGAAUCGCUAGUAAUCGUGGAUCAGAAUGCCACGGUGAAUACGUUCCCGGGCCUUGUACACACCGCCCGUCACACCAUGGGAGUGAGUUGCAAAAGAAGUAGGUAGCUUAACCUUCGGGAGGGCGCUUACCACUUUGUGAUUCAUGACUGGGGUGAAGUCGUAACAAGGUAACCGUAGGGGAACCUGCGGUUGGAUCACCUCCUUACCUUAAAGAAGC
RNAcentral lists this ribosomal RNA (500 nucleotides) under Escherichia coli. RNAcentral describes it as "bacterial SSU rRNA". It matches the Rfam family "Bacterial small subunit ribosomal RNA", at positions 1045 to 1533 of the family's 1533-position model. Lineage: Bacteria; Pseudomonadati; Pseudomonadota; Gammaproteobacteria; Enterobacterales; Enterobacteriaceae. The record is from RNAcentral.